Molecule: microRNA, 24 nt
Filed under: Glycine max (soybean)
Lineage: Eukaryota; Viridiplantae; Streptophyta; Magnoliopsida; Fabales; Fabaceae
Description: gma-miR5379
Source: miRBase by way of RNAcentral
AUGAAAAUCAUUCAUUAUGAUAUC